This 20-nucleotide microRNA is filed under the name Macrophomina phaseolina MS6. Its description in RNAcentral is "miR-466i-5p". Lineage: Eukaryota; Fungi; Ascomycota; Dothideomycetes; Botryosphaeriales; Botryosphaeriaceae. The record is from RNAcentral.
CGUCUGUGUGUGUGUGUGUG